This 66-nucleotide transfer RNA is filed under the name Dipodomys ordii (Ord's kangaroo rat). It matches the Rfam family "tRNA". From Rfam's summary of the family: Transfer RNA (tRNA) molecules are approximately 80 nucleotides in length. Their secondary structure includes four short double-helical elements and three loops (D, anti-codon, and T loops). Lineage: Eukaryota; Metazoa; Chordata; Mammalia; Rodentia; Heteromyidae. The record is from Rfam by way of RNAcentral.
GGUGGCUCAGUGGUAGAGUGCUUGCCUUGCAUGCAGGAGGCCCUUAGGUUCGAUUCCUCAGCACCA